CACCAGAGGAUUCAAAUGAAGAUUUUAUUUAAAUUUCAAGAGAUUUGAGAUGUAGUAGAGAAGAAAUUUGAAGAGCCCAAAGAGAAAAAAGAAGCCGUUCUUGAUGCAGCUAAGAAGGUAGAUCUGAAAGAUAAGAGAAAGAGAGAUUAGAAGGCACUUGUUUUCAUCCAUCAGGCAGUUGAUGAAAAUAUGUUUGAGAAGAUUGUGGCAACAAAGACCUCCUAUGAGAAAUGGUUAAUCCUUGAAAAAAUAUAUCAUGGAGUAAUCAAGGUGAAGAAGGUCCGCUAGC
RNAcentral lists this long non-coding RNA (289 nucleotides) under Elaeis guineensis (African oil palm). Its description in RNAcentral is "long non-coding RNA (EGUI_LNC000017)". Lineage: Eukaryota; Viridiplantae; Streptophyta; Magnoliopsida; Arecales; Arecaceae. The record is from RNAcentral.